UGGGGAAUAUUGCACAAUGGGCGAAAGCCUGAUGCAGCAACGCCGCGUGAGUGAUGAAGGUCUUCGGAUUGUAAAGCUCUGUCUUUUGGGACGAUAAUGAUGGUACCAAAGGAGGAAGCCACGGCUAACUACGUGCCAGCAGCCGCGGUAAUACGUAGGUGGCGAGCGUUGUCCGGAUUUACUGGGCGUAAAGGGUGCGUAGGCGGAUGUUUAAGUGAGAUGUGAAAUACCCGGGCUUAACUUGGGUGCUGCAUUUCAAACUGGAUAUCUAGAGUGCAGGAGAGGAGAAUGGAAUUCCUAGUGUAGCGGUGAAAUGCGUAGAGAUUAGGAAGAACACCAGUGGCGAAGGCGAUUCUCUGGACUGUAACUGACGCUGAGGCACGAAAGCGUGGGUAGCAAACAGGAUUAGAUACCCUGGUAGUCCACGCCGUAAACGAUGAGUACUAGGUGUAGGAGGUAUCGACCCCUUCUGUGCCGCAGUAAACACAUUAAGUACUCCGCCUGGGAAGUACGAUCGCAAGAUUAAAAC
This 529-nucleotide ribosomal RNA is filed under the name uncultured bacterium. RNAcentral describes it as "partial 16S ribosomal RNA". It matches the Rfam family "Bacterial small subunit ribosomal RNA", at positions 355 to 900 of the family's 1533-position model. The record is from RNAcentral.